GACGUAGGGCGCGAGCGUUGUCCGGAUUUAUUGGGCGUAAAGAGCUCGUAGGCGGCUUGUCGCGUCGACUGUGAAAUCCCGCGGCUCAACUGCGGGUCUGCAGUCGAUACGGGCAGGCUAGAGUUCGGUAGGGGAGACUGGAAUUCCUGGUGUAGCGGUGAAAUGCGCAGAUAUCAGGAGGAACACCGAUGGCGAAGGCAGGUCUCUGGGCCGAUACUGACGCUGAGACGCGAAAGCGUGGGGAGCAAACAGG
RNAcentral lists this ribosomal RNA (253 nucleotides) under uncultured bacterium. RNAcentral describes it as "partial 16S ribosomal RNA". It matches the Rfam family "Bacterial small subunit ribosomal RNA", at positions 524 to 776 of the family's 1533-position model. The record is from RNAcentral.